UAAUACCAGCGCCACAAGUGGGAAUCGUGAUUAUUGGGCCUAAAGCGUCCGUAGCUUGUCUUAUAAAUCUCUUGUGAAAUCGUAGAGCUUAACUUUACGGCGAGCAGGAGAUACUAUUUGACUUGGAACCGGGAGGGGUUAGAGGAAUUCUGGGGGGAGCGGUAAAAUGCUAUAAUCCCCGGAAGACCACCUGUCGCGAAGGCGUCUGACUAGAACGGAUUCGACAGUGAGGGACGAAAGCCAGGGGAGCGAACCGGAUUAGAUACCCGAGUAGUCCUGGCCGUAAACGCUGCGAGCUAGGUGUUGCAUAUUCUUCGGGAAUAUGCAGUAUCGAAGCGAAGGCGAUAAGCUCGCCGCCUGGGAAGUAUAGUCGCAAGGCCG
RNAcentral lists this ribosomal RNA (381 nucleotides) under uncultured euryarchaeote. RNAcentral's name for it is "bacterial SSU rRNA". It matches the Rfam family "Archaeal small subunit ribosomal RNA", at positions 471 to 851 of the family's 1478-position model. Lineage: Archaea; Methanobacteriati; Methanobacteriota. The record is from RNAcentral.